RNAcentral lists this ribosomal RNA (426 nucleotides) under uncultured bacterium. RNAcentral's name for it is "bacterial SSU rRNA". It matches the Rfam family "Bacterial small subunit ribosomal RNA", at positions 354 to 796 of the family's 1533-position model. The record is from RNAcentral.
GUGAGGAAUUUUCCGCAAUGGGCGAAAGCCUGACGGAGCAAUGCCGCGUGAAGGAUGAAGGCCUAUGGGUUGUAAACUUCUUUUCUCAGAAAAGAAUUAUGACGGUAUCUGAGGAAUAAGCAUCGGCUAACUCUGUGCCAGCAGCCGCGGUAAGACAGAGGAUGCAAGCGUUAUCCGGAAUGAUUGGGCGUAAAGCGUCUGUAGGUUGUUUAAAAAGUAUUCUGUCAAAGAUUAGGGCUUAACCCUAGAUAGGCAGAAUAAACUUUUAAGCUAGAGUUUGGUAGAGGCAGAGGGAAUUCCCGGUGGAGCGGUGAAAUGCUUAGAUAUGACAUAGAACACCUAUUGCGAAGGCAGCUUACUACGCAUAUAUUGACGCUGAGGCACGAAAGCGUGGGGAUCAAACAGGAUUAGAUACCCUAGUAGUCC